ACGCUUAAAAAGUUUUAAGUUUUGUAUCAAAAAAUUAAAUAUAAAUAAAUGUUCAAAAAAAGCAAAUGCUCACGCUUGCAAAUAAAGUCUUUCCAAGGUGGCUGCGUACAAGUUGUUGGAAGCAUCUUAAAUAAAAAUUCAGUGACUAAAAAAA
Molecule: long non-coding RNA, 154 nt
Filed under: Polistes fuscatus (common paper wasp)
Lineage: Eukaryota; Metazoa; Arthropoda; Insecta; Hymenoptera; Vespidae
Description: uncharacterized LOC122525802
Source: RNAcentral